CCUAGGAUGGUGAAAUACGUUAGUGAGGGAGCUUUGGUUGUGAUUGGAAUGUUUGAACCUGCGUUUGUUAUAAUCCGGAGACGUAUCCUUGCAACCCGCGCGUACUAGAGGAUGAAAUAUCGGAACUGAAAACCAACUGUUCGCUCUGACUUGGCUGGUCCAGUUUGUCCAGUUUCAAGCUUCUCAAGCUUUCAAGCGGCGUGGUAGCGCAUUGUUGAAGGAAUGUGUGGAGAAAUAUUAGUCGUCACUUAACAGGAACGAAAACUUGGCUUAGCUUGGCUGAGGUUCCUGGCUUCUGACCUGGCGUGUUGGCAGGUAUCAAUUUCCUCGGAGUGCCCUAACUGCUAGGGGAAGAAGAAGCGUCUUAGAACGUUUCAUGGAGAGAAUGGGGGUGCUGGGGAGGCAUCGUCGAUCCAAUAAUGCUGGAACACGCAUGGGGUAACUGGCCUCUGGAAGCAGCGCCUAAAAGCCCCAGAGCCAAAGAAACCACCGAAUCUCAGUUUCUGAGAAGGUAAGCGGCGGCGAUGAAGACAGCAGCUGAAAUCGCUGGUGGCUGAAGCGGCACAAAUAGCACGGGUUGUCUUGAAGCCACUAUGUAGACGAGGCAAAUGGGAUGAGCGCCCAAGAAUCCCCAUUGAAGGCUCCGGUUGUGUUUAACAGCUCCUGGAACAGCAUGCUCAAGAGAAAUCCCCACCACCCCAUCACUCACAUCCUUUCAACCGCC
This 724-nucleotide small RNA is filed under the name Histoplasma capsulatum. RNAcentral's name for it is "hypothetical RNA". The record is from RNAcentral. RNAcentral also lists the same sequence under 1 other name. Lineage: Eukaryota; Fungi; Ascomycota; Eurotiomycetes; Onygenales; Ajellomycetaceae.